Molecule: ribosomal RNA, 449 nt
Filed under: Helcococcus sp. canine oral taxon 069
Lineage: Bacteria; Bacillati; Bacillota; Tissierellia; Tissierellales; Peptoniphilaceae
Description: bacterial SSU rRNA
Rfam family: Bacterial small subunit ribosomal RNA
Source: RNAcentral
GAGUUUGAUUCUGGCUCAGGACAAACGCUGGCGGCGUGCAUAACACAUGCAAGUCGAACGAAAUCUACAUGAUUUAGUGGCGAACGGGUGAGUAACACGUGAGAAACCUGCCUUACACAGAGGGAUAGCCGUUGGAAACGACGAUUAAUACCUCAUGACACCGUGACAUCGCAUGAUGAUGCGGUCAAAGAUUUAUCGGUGUAAGAUGGUCUCGCGCCUGAUUAGCUGGUUGGUGGGGUAACGGCCUACCAAGGCGACGAUCAGUAGCCGAUCUGAGAGGGUGGACGGCCACAUUGGGACUGAGACACGGCCCAAACUCCUACGGGAGGCAGCAGUGGGGAAUUUUGCACAAUGGGGGAAACCCUGAUGCAGCGACGCCGCGUGAACGAAGAAGGCCUUCGGGUUGUAAAGUUCUGUCCUUGGUGAAGAUAAUGACCGUACCAGAGAGC